GUUUUUCCUUGAUUGAGUUUUUUGUUUCUAAAUUUUGUGUAUUUUGUAUUUGUUGGGACUGACUUUGACAAAGUUCUUUUCCAGAUACAGAGAUUUAUUUGUUGGUAAUUUUUUUGUUUUUCCUUCUUUUGCCACGGUAACUAAUUCAGAUGUAAACACUAGGACAGAUUUAAUGGGUUGUUCUUUGUACCAUUUUCUUUUCCUUCUAUUGUUUUUUUGGUUGCCGAAAAGGUUGAAGUCAGAUAUUAUGUCAAAAGAAAAUUUAUCAAUUUUCAAGAAACUACUAAUAUCCUAACUUGGUUCUUUGGACCGCUCUGAGAGGACUGGAUUUGCAGACUGGCUUUUUUCACCUUGAGGCAAAUUAAAGCUCCCACUAAUAACUUUGAUCCUGUAAACAACAUUGGGGAAGGCAGUUUUGGUUGUGUCAACAAGGGCAUAUUAUUGGAUGGCCUUACAAUUGCAGUUAUAAUGAGAAAAUCAUUUAAUCAAACAGUAAUUUUCGUUCUUUACUCAGAAAUAGAGCAAAUUAGAGAGAAUGAGAAAGAGAGUGGUUUUGGUUUUUGAUUGAUUAGUCAAACACAAGCUUGGCACUCGGCCUUUGAAAACAUAAAUUUUGAUAUUGUCAGCUUUGCUGUUUCUAAUUCAGCUAAGCAGCUAGAAAUGAUUUGAAUUAAGGUGUUUAUAUAUGUAUGGGGGAUUUUGUGUUUGAGAAUCCAGAGGAUACUUUGCAGUCAUGGCGCAUUGAUGGUUAUAGUUUAUUUGUUGAUGGUUUAUUAA
This 777-nucleotide long non-coding RNA is filed under the name Rosa chinensis. Its description in RNAcentral is "sRNA RchiOBHm_Chr7g0233641". The record is from RNAcentral. Lineage: Eukaryota; Viridiplantae; Streptophyta; Magnoliopsida; Rosales; Rosaceae.